This 28308-nucleotide long non-coding RNA is filed under the name Gossypium barbadense (sea-island cotton). RNAcentral's name for it is "long non-coding RNA (GBAR_LNC009897)". Lineage: Eukaryota; Viridiplantae; Streptophyta; Magnoliopsida; Malvales; Malvaceae. The record is from RNAcentral.
AAUAAUUAAUUAUUUUUAUUAAAUUACUAUUAUUAUUUCGAUUACAAAUAGUUGGAGUCAAGUGCCAGCAACGAGUUGAAGAUUUGCUUCGGCUACAAAUACAUCAUGGAUGCCAUGUGGGGGUAAAUUUGAAAUUUACAUACACUUUCGAGACUGCAAUACUACAAGAAAAAUUGUAUUUAGAUGAACUAACUCAAUAUCAAAUUUUAUGGUUAAGAUUGUAUCACGGGCCUCACAAAGGUGCUGCUUGUGGGCAUAUAUACCCCAAGAUUUUCCAUAUUCUUUCCGAUGUGGGAUCAACGUACCUUAUCUAUUUUUUUAAAGCGUUUGACGUGACAUUCUUCCCACCCAAUCACUUUCCAUUCCUAAAAGAUAUAUCUAAUAGGAUUAAUCCACAUUGUCUACUUCCUUCAUCAUGGGCUCCUCUAUUACAAAUGGUCCACUCGGCCUACCCACUUGUUGGGGUGCUUCGCAUGAAAUCAAGCAGUCAAAAGUCGCCUACUCCCUUCAUAAUGGGUUCCAUCACAAUUGAUCAACUCAACCUAUCCAUCUGUUGGGGCGCCUUGCGUGUAAUCCAACAAUUAAUACGCCUUUAGAGAACAGGUUUUGAGUUUCACGAGAACCGACCUUCGAGGAUUGAGAGCCUCUAUCAUGUGAUAAAAUUGAGAUUAUGCAUGCUAGAUUUCGUGCAACAUAAUGUUUCAAUAAUCAGAGCGUAGCUCAUGAUUUGUAAAAUAAAAAUUAAUAUUUACUCCAACUCAAACAUAAAUCCUUGAGUUUAAAGUCAAAGAUCCUAAUAUUACGAGUUUUAGUUAUUAACUCCAAUUCAAACAACCACAAAUGCAGGAGAAAUUAUAAAAACUACUAUAUAUAUAAUUUUUUUCUUACGAAUUCCUUACAAAUUACCAUGUAUUAAUCUAAUCAAGGGAGAAAAUCCCAGCUAAAUUCUGAUGUUAAUUUUCCCACCCUAAACUAAAAUACCCUCUUUUUUUCCGAGAAAAUAAUUCUGAAAACUUUCAAACUUUACAAAAUCCUAAGUACAAAUGUACAUAUAUUUUUAUUUUUUUUAACAAAGAAAAAGAUUAAAUACCAGUGAAGGAAACCCUCCCAAAACCCCAAUGGCCAAUCUGAUACAGCUCUAACCAAACACUCUCGGCUUCAAAUCUGGCACCAAAUGUCCCCAUUUCUUCUUCUUCUUCUUCAAAUCCUGCUGGAAAUUCCCAGAUUUCCUGUUCUACCCUUACCCUCCCUCUGAAAUUCUCGUCACCUUCAUUAACAGUAGCACUAGUUUUCUUGCGUUUUCUCUUCAUUUUCCCGAACCCCAAACACCUCCUCCCCAUUUUCCACGGUAGCUUAAUCAAUGCAAGUGUCAAAAAGUUGAGCAAAGCACAAGGGCAACAACAGAUUGCGACACAAUCGGCGAUUACACCAGCGGUGCAUGAUCCACAAUACUUGCCUGAACACUCCAUCAAAUCCCCACCUUCUUUUUCUCCUUCAUCAAUGGCGCUCUUCUUUUUCCUUGCAGAUCUUCCUUUUCCUUUAUGUGAAUUCCCCUCCAUUUGAAUUUCUUCAAUCAUUUCUCUCUUUCUCUCUCUCUCUCUAAUAUCUGACGCAUUGAAUAUAAUCUGUACAAUGUUGAGAUGAAAGUUUUUAGAGCUUCAUAUUUUUUUAAAUGCUAUAAAGUUAUAUGUACAGUGAACUGAGUCCCCUCCCGCCUUCUUACAUGCAUUUUUAUCUCUGUAAUAAUUCAGCAACACUGGUAGAUAACCGGAAACCUCACGCGCAGAAGUGGGGGGUGAGGAUGAAGAACCAAUGAAGGUUUGACAUAGAUGGAGAGUGUGUGAGAAUUUGGAUUGGGCGCGUGGAAGUUUGAUAUGCAAUUUUUGUAAAGUUUUCUGAGAUUACCUAAACCUCCCUGUUUUUAGCAGGUUAACAACAAUGGAAAGUUUCUUAAAUUACAAUAAAAUGCCAACUUAUUUCCUUUUUUUUUUUAAAUAAAAUUUCCUUGUAACCAAGUUUGUCUUGUGAUUUAAAGCUUUUUUAGCUUAAAUAGUAAAAAUGGUAGAUAUAAUACUAUUAACGAAAAAAUAAUUAAAAUAUGAGCCCAAAAAUAAUUUAAAAAAUAUGUAACACGAACAGGAAAAUUAAAGAAAAAAAUUAAGGAAAAAAGAAGGAAGGCGUGGGGUGCUUGAAAAUGGAAAUGUGACUGAGACGAGACACCGGAGACAGUAAUACCCCGUUCAAUAAUAUUUUUCUUUCCAUUUCCUAUUACUACUGAUAACUAUCAUAAUAAAUUACAUAAAUAAAUAAGCAAAUGUCUGUCUCUUUCGACGUACCUAUUUUAGUUUUGAAACAAGGGUAAAAUUACCUCCCUGAUCACUUUAAAGUAAAGUCGGUUCAAUUUUGAUUAUUUUAAUUUUUUAAUUUAAUUACUUUAAAUAAAAUAAUCGUGUAAAUUAAUCAUUAAAAUUUUUAUUUUUUCUAACAGAAUACUAAUAUAACAUAUUAUCACAUUAAGUAAUUAACACAUGACAUUAAAUACAAAAUAAAUUUUAUUUAUUUAUGAACACUAUAUAUAUUAGACUUUUUCAUCUUCAAUAAUCACAUUAAAUUAUAAUUAAAUUUAUUAUUAGAUAAAUUCAACCAUUAACGUUAUAUUUUCUAUCAACAAAACUUAAAAGUUCACUUAAAAGAACGUAAAGUUCCGUGUCACUAGACCCACAACAUGGAUACUGUCCAUUAUUUCAUAUCGGAAUAAAGCAAUAUUUAAUUUUUUAUUAUUUUUUUAAACUUUGAUCCCAGCAAUGUUGUGAUACCAAAAUCUGAAAAAUGUUAAUAAGUUAUAGAAAUAAUAUAAACAAAAAAUGGAUUUAGUUUUUUUUCAACUCGAAGAAUUGUAAAUUUAGUUUUUGCUUGUCCAUAUUUAAUUUUUAAGAUUAAAUUUUAUUUAAAAUUAAAUUUUAAAAAUGCACUAAAAGAAUGCUAAAACAAAUUUGUUAUCAGUAUUUAUAUUAAAAACAAUACCAUAAAUAUAAUUUUAUUUUGUAUUAAAAACAAAAAUAAAUAUAUAAAUAUUUUAUUGUAUUAAAUAUAAUAUUUUGAGUUGAGUUAUUUAGUUGUGUAAUUUUUUUUUAGGUUUUGGGUAAUGAGUUUAAUUGUCAUUGGAUGAGUGAUUUAAUAUAAAUAUAAAUAUAUAUAAUUAUUAUUUAACAUAUAUAAUUAAUAUAAUAUUAUUUUAUAACAUAAUAUUUGGGCUGAGCUUGGGCCAAUAAAUUUUAUUGAAAGCCUGACCUAUAUAGAAAAAAAAACUUAAAAUUUUAUUAAAUCUAUUUUCCAAACUGGCCUUUAGGUUUGGGAGGGUGGUUCAACACAUGAGCAGGUUUACUCAAGAUAUGACGACGAUAUAUAUAUAUUAGAACAUUGAUCAUUAUUUAUGAUGAUAUUUAAGAAAAAUAUUAUUAAUAUAUUAUUUAUUUUUAUAAUUUAACAUAAAUAGUAUAUUAGGGUGUGUUUGAUAAAUUGAAAUUUUAAAUGCUAAAAAAUUAAGUACUAAAUUUUAUAAGUGCUAAAUUUAUAUUAAAAACCGAUUGGUAAAUUUAAAAAAUAUUUAGUUCUAAAUUUUAAUCUUACUAAUAUAAUAUUUUAUAUUAUUUUGAAUAGUUUUACAUGAAAAAUAAAUAUGAUAAUUUGAAUAUCUCAUUUUUUAUUUUUUAAUAAAAUAAAAUUAAUUUAAUAUUUUUUUACAUAAGUAGCUACCUACUUACCUAUUUUAUUCAACACUUUAUUGUUGAAAAUAUUAUAUUAAAAUAAUUAAAAUAAUUAUUGAAUAUAUUUAAAAUAUUAAAUGUUAAAAAAAUUAUUUUCAAUAAAAUGAACUUUAAUAAUUUAUCAAAUACAGUCUUCACUUUAAUGUUAUUUUAUUUAUCUUUAAUUAACGUUAUUGGAUUAAUUAAUCAAAUUCACAAAAUUAUUCUUCAUUUUCUUAACUUUUUUUUUAAAAUUAAAAUCAUAAAACAAACAAAGUAAUAAUGUUUGUGAUAUACUGAAAUUAUUUUGUAACUCUUAAAAAUCAAAUAAAAUCAAAUAUAUUUAAUAUUUUUACUUUUUCUUUUUUGAAAUGCCAACAUUUGUUUAAUGUUUUGUCAAUGAAAAAGGAAAUUUAAAAGACAGAAGAAAAACGUACAUGGUCUCUAUAAAAUCCAGCUAAUUUAAUAAUUAUUUUAGAAAUAUAUUCUUAUUGAACUCGAAAAGAAUAAUGCAUUUAUCAACUUUUCUUUCUAUAUUUAUCAUUUUUAAUCCAUGUCACUACAUGCUUAUUAACAAAUUUUCCCCUAAAAUUAUUGUAUUUUUUUAUUGUUUAUUUAACUCAUAAAAGAAAACGAAAGAUGAAUCGUUCACAAAAGAAAAUAAAAUAACAUUAAAAUUUUAAAAUAAUUAUUGUAAGUGUUAGAAGGAACCGUAGUUUACCAUUAAAAAACACAUUUAUUUGUAAAAGCAAAAAUAAUAAUUUUAGUAAAUAAAAGAAAACUGAAAUAGUAUUCAAAAAGUUAAAUAAUAUAAAUAACGUUUAAAUAUAAUAUGCCAAGUUAAAUAUAAUCAAAUUUGAUCGAAAAUUUUAAUUUAUAAAAUGAAAAAUCUAAUAAGAUACAAAUCACACUCGAGAUUUUCUUUUUUAUGCAUGAUGAUUGAUUUCAUGAUGAAAUAUAUAUUAAGUAAAAACAAAAACAUGAACUUACCUUUGGUUGGAUUAGCUGCUCCUGUUUUUAGCUUUCGAGGGGAAAUAAUGGUGACGAAUUUUCUUUUAAAAGAAAAGAAAAGCUUUUGAUGUGAUCUCAAAAUCAGAAUGAGCUUUUAAGCUCUUUGGUUUUCUAGCAUUUCCUCAACAUGAGAAUCAGAGCUCCACUCUCUCUCUCUCUUCCUGAAUUUCAGGUAUUUUUAAAAAGAUUAAAAAGGAAUGGUUAAUUUUAAGAAAGAUAAAAAAAAAAUUCCAUUUAACAAAUAAUAGGCAAAUUAAAUUGUCUCUAUGUCAUAUAUUAUAUUUUUAUUGAUAUUUUUUAAAAUUAUUUUUAAAAUUCGUAAUUAUUUUUUUAAUAAUAUUAUUUCUAAGUUUCGAAAUAUUAUCUCUAAUAUAUUAAUGCUCUAAAAACUCUUUCUAGAAAAUAGUGAAAGAAAUAUUGGAAAUAAGCAAUAAUGAAACUAUAAUGUUUUCAAUUAAUAUAUGCGUUAUGAUAGGAUGGGUUUUUUUUUUUUUUUAGAAGAAAGACAGUUACAUGAUUAAUUCAAUGCAUUUAACAUGUGUUACAAGAAUAAACAAGUUAAUAUAUAAUCAAAUGAUUCGGUUAUAUAAUUAUAUUGUGUUUGUUUAUUUUCUGACAUAUAUUAAAAAUAUUUUAUGUUAAUAUAGAUUUUGACAAUAUAAUAUUAGUUAAAAAUAUAUAAUUCGCAUUGUAUAAAAAAAUUGGUACUUUAAUGUAUUUAUAAUAAUUACUUAUUUUUUGGUCGUAUUAUAUUUAAUUAAUGUAAUUAUAUAAUAAGGGUCUUAUAUCCUUGAAUUAUUGAGUAAUAGUGGGGAAAGCGUAUAAUAAAAGAAUUUGAUAAGUCCCGAUGACAGCAAAUAUAGGGAAUUGUCCCACUUUUUUCACUCUUCUUUAUUUAAGCUAUUUCCCCACUUCUAACAGUUAUUACUUUUUUGCUUUUAGCGGAAUUGGGCAGGGCAGGUGGAGUACAAGUUAUGAUGGUCGGGUGAAUUGCUCAAGCUCAAAGCCUCGGAGGAUUGAAGUAAAAAUAUAUCUAAAAAAUAAGUUUGAAUAAAAAAAUAAUGUUUGAUUUUUACAUGUUCCUAGCCUUAAAUGAGAUUUUUGACUUGGGCUUGACUCACUUAAUUCGAAUCAGUUAAAAUUUUUUAUUCUUUUACUAUCUCAUUAUUAUUUUAUUGUUAUUUCGUUGUUAUUUUGUUGUCAUUUCAUUAUUAUAAAGUUAUUAUUUUGUUGUUAUCAUUUGAAUAUUAUAUAACUAUUGUUCUAUUGUUAAUUUUGUUACUAUUUAAGAGGUAAUUGGUUGCUAAGUUACAAUUAUUUUAGUGUUAUUUAAGUAAAAAAACUUUUUUUAAUAUGUUUUUAAUUUGCUGAGAAACAUUUAUUUUAAUGUUUUUAAUGUAUUAGAUGUAUUAUAUUUUUUAAAUUUGUUUUAAAUAAAAAAAUAAUCUUACUUUUUUUUUAAAUAUGGACAGGUCGUAUCAAGCUCAAAUUUAGCAUUUUUAAUCUAGUUCAAGUUUGGACAAAAUUUUAGGCCCAUUUUUCGACCCGAAUCAAUAUGGGCAGGUCUUAUUAAGCUCGAAUUUAGCAUUUUUAAUCUAGUUUAAAUUUAGACAAAAUUUUAGGCCUAUUUUUCGACCUGAAUCCGAGUCUGAAAAAUAAACUUGAAAUUUUAUAUCAAUCCAACCCAUGAUCAAGUCUACUGUAGAAUAUAUUAAAAUAUUAUUUAAUAAUUAUUUUGUAAGGUGGGCUUAAUUAAAUGAUGCACAUUCAUUUAAAUCUUGUUGUGAUUAUUUCAAGUGAUGUAACAUGUUUAUCGUAUCCAUUGCAUUUAAAUAAAAUUUAGUUUAAGUUAAAGUAAAUUGUGAGGCUAACGUGACAUAUUAUUUAAAAAUUUAUUUAAGUUAGGUGUAAUAAUAAGAUAUAUUACACUUUUGAAAAGAGAAUCAUAUUCAAGUUUUAAAGAUGACUUUGUUAGGAAGGAUAACUACGAACUUUGAAUAUCAACCAUAAAAUGAACAUAUAAAAUAAAAAAAUAAUAGUUUUUUUAUCAUAAUUUUAAACCGGGAUGGUGGAUGCAUGUAAAAAUCACGAGGAGGAUCGCUCAAUUCCUCAAGCCUAGAUGGAGAAUCUGGUGUCUUCGGAUGAUGCUAGCUAACUGGUUUAGAGAGUUUGUUUGGGGGAGAAGUGUUCUAGCUAUGGUUUUCUAUUUCUACUUUCAUUGUUUGUUUUCUUUCUCUAGGAUAUUUUUUCAUUUUGUUCUUUUGAAGACAAAAGUCAACGUUGCAAAAACACAUUUCUAACCAUUUUCGCCAGAGAAACUCCAUAAAAUCCAGCAUCAUGCAGAAACACCAGAUUCCUCAUCAUAAGUCUACUGGAUGAUCAUAGCAGUUUUAAGUAACGUUUUGAUUUUUUGUCCCACAGACAUAAUUUUUCAGCAUUAAAAUCAUCUUAAAUAACACAUCUUAAUUAUCCAAAACUAUUGAAAAUUCAAUAUACAAAAAUUGAAAGCAAAGCAAUUUGAAAAUAUAUUUCUUGAAAUUCAAUUUUACGAUUUCAUAAUUUUCUAGCAACUUUCCCAUUAAUUUAUUUUUUGGUAAAUUAUACCAUUAGUCACUAAAUUAAGAGUAAAUUCUUAUUUUCGUAACUUAACUAAAAAAAGUUACAAUUUGGUCAUUGAACUAUUAAAUGUUUUCAUUUAAGUCACUGAACUAUUUAAAAUUUCAUUUAAGUCAUUGGGCUAUUAAGUUUUUUUUUUUUUUUAAGUUUCGCCAUCAGGCUCCAAGUGAUGAUCUAAGUCAAUCUGACAAUUAGUGCCGGAAAUUGAAGAAAAAAUUAUUUGAAUUUUAGUUCGCAGAUUUAUGACAUCUAAAGUUGUUUCAUAAAAAAGUAACUGUAAAAUAUAGGAGAAAGAGAGCUUUCGAUUGGUGCAGACAAUGCAAAUAAAGAAAGACAUAGCUAUCGAUUUUAACAGUCCAGUGACUUGAACGAAAACUUUUGAAUAAUUUAUUGAUCAAAUUUUUAAUUUUUUUAAUUAAAUGACCAAAACAAAAAAUUUAUCCAUAAUUUAGUAACUAAUGGUAUAGUUUAUCAAACAACUUUGACUAAAAAAAUAUUAUAAAAGUAUCUUCCAACCCAAAAAGUCCAUUUUGAACAAAAAAAAUCAAAAAGGCCAUUAAAAAAACUUAUAAAAUUCAUCUCUAAAUUCUUCUCGAAUUAAACGGUUAAAACUUAAAACCCUAAGGUAAUGUUUCCUUCAAUAAAAUACCUUAUUUAGGUGUAUUCCAUCCCGGGCUUAUGCUGUGAAAUUUGUUUAUUUCUAUUUUCUCUCCUUUCCACCCAUUAUUGAUUCGGUGUUUGAAGAACUCUAUUCUAUUACAGUGAACUAAACGUAUCCUAAAUCUCUCAUUGACGGUAUCAAUCCCCCCACUGCACUUUUUCUUUGUUUCAUUUUUUUUUUCAUUUAAGGUAAACAAAAGAGAAAGAAAGAAAGAAAUUAAUGAUACGAAGGCAAGAUGAAGAAUGCUUUUUUAUAAUUUCUGCUACCCCUUUUCUUUGAGCAGAGGCAGCAAACUCUCUGAUUCUUUUGAAUUCUCUCAAUUUCCUUUUUUGGGGUUCCUUUUGCACUGGGAUUUUCUUUUUUAGUUUUUAAUACUAUUCGAUUUUUAAUUUCUUUUUAAUUAUUAAGAAAGGUAAUAUACAUCUUCUUAUGUGGACAACUUGUCAGCUCAGCUUCAUACCUUACAAUGACUGAAAAAAUUGGCCAUAUUAAUCUGUAGCACAGUUUGCCUCCCGUCAGAUCUGUCUAAAUUGUAUGUUUUAUUGUCGAUUGCACAGCUUCCCUAUACUACGAAUCACCCCCAACGCAAUUCAAGCUUUCAGAGAAGAAUUGAUACAUGUUAUAAUGGGCAAUUAGUCUCAACAAUGACCUGUCGAAAACCAGCAGAUCAGGCAACCAGCAGCCCCUCUCUAAUAGCAUGUAAUUUCGCCUGCAGCAUCGAGCUCAUCCCCAAAUACCCGCUGAAUCCCGUAAACUAGUUACCACGGUGAUCCAGUAUGAGAUGCUUCAUUCGAAAUCGGGUAUAUCACUCCAUCACAAUUGAGCUUAACCCAUCCAAUAUCUGGAGCUAGCAAGUGAGCAUUCAAACCCAAACUGUCAGCACCAACAUACGUAUAAUGGUCUGCAUUCAAAACAUCUGUGGACAAAGCACUACAAUAAGAAAUAAUUUCCUCAGGCAACACGUUCUCUUCAGUAAAAACCAAUUUGUUACGAGUAUGCCAUAGACACCAAGCCAACAUACUUAAGAGUAAGCUCCAUUCCAAACCAGGCGUCACAAUGUUAAGGCAAUUUCGAAUGUUGCCAACUAUCCAAUCAGUAGACCUCGAUGCAGGAAAGCCGGCCACGCAAUGCGCAAGACCCGAAAUCUAAUAGCCUAUGCAAACUCAGUCACGUAAAACGUGCAAUAUCAUUUCUAACUCGCAACCAUAAGCCGGACAAGUUGGAUCCCAUGCAACACUUCUUUUUAAACAUUCUACAUUGAUUAGCCAUAAAAGUUGUCUGACACGUUUAACACCCUUAAACAUUAAUCAUUGACAACAAAUUUUAUAUUCCUACUAAAUGAAUAUUUUCUUUAAAAUGUCCAACCACCAAAUUUAACACAGUUAAUAAUUAAUUUUAAAUUUUAAAUUUUAAAAAGGACUUAAUUCAUAAAAAUAAAAGUAUAGAAUUUAAGUUCUAAAUUUGUGAAGAGUACUAAAAUUUAUAAUAAAUUUUAACCUUCUCAAAAAGUAUGUAUUUUUAAAAAGUUAAAUUAAUUUUUUAAGCUAUACAACAAAAACUUUGAUUUUUUUUUAAUAUUAAUUUCAUUAUAAGUUCUUAUAAAUCUACUAUUUUUUGAUAUAAUGCAUAACCCCUUUCUAACCUUUAAAUAGGAAAAUAUUAUAUUUCAGCACACUCGAAUCCACGACCUCUUGCACUAACAACAAUACCGAUGCUAAUCAAGCUAAAAUUUAAAAUUUAAUUUUUAAAUUGACUCAUUUUAAUUUUUUGGUUUUCAACUUUUUAAAAGUAAAUUUUAUUCAGCCAUUUUCAAAAUCCUUGUUUCAAUAAAAGAUUCUAAAUCUUUAUUACCAUCAAACCUUAGAUUAGAUUUAAGCCUCUCUUGCCCCUACCUUUGAUAUAUUUUUUUAUCAAGUUAUUUUUUUUAUUAAAUAAACGAUAUUGAGUGAUUUCAAAGAACUUUUUUCUUAAAUCUUAAUCACCAUCAAAAUUUAAAGGUAACAUUUUAUCAAAUUUUGAAUUGAACAUUCAUUUGCUUAGCUUAAAAAUUAGGUCAUAUAUAUAAAUAGACUCAACAACACAUGUUACGCCCACAGUUAACUGAGAUUACCUUCAAACUGUUAAUCUAAUAUUAAACCAAUAAGCUUUUCUUUAAAAUCAUUCAUCUCUAGGACAAAUAUAUGUGUGUGCAAAGUGUGUGCAUAUAUAUCAGAGAGGGAGAGCGAGAAAGAUCGUAAUUAUAUUACAAUAUGGUGUCAAUAAAUACAACAAAGUCAACUGAGAUCCAAGCAAUGGCAAGCAACUGAGAUCCAGCUUAAGAUACUGCCAUGGAUAUGGUGUACACUAACGGGUAAAAAAACACAAACAAAUACACUUCUAUUUACCUAAAGAAAAAAAAAAUAUGAACCCUAACAACGAUGAAGAAAUUAUCUGGCAAUUUAAGUAUCAAACAUCUUCACCAUUGUUUCACCUUCACUCUUUGUUGUUGGCCAAUGCAUUUAAUUGUUUCUCUAACUGCAAGGUCACACCACAACGUAAAAUUAACCUGGUUGUCAGACAAUGGACAAAAAAGAACAAAUCUAAUUUGCAAGCAAGACAAGUGAUUGCGAACUCCUGUGAUUGGCUGACCAAGGGGAGUUCACCCCAUAGAACCCCACUCGAGUUUGAGUCUCUUGGGGAGCAAGUGGUAUUAUUUAGGCAGCCCCCUUUGGAAAUAAUGUGUGCAUGUAUGGUAUGGUUAUGUCUCUAAAGAUGUAUUCGAUCUGAGUAGUCCAAGAAAAAUGAAGAGUCGUUCCAACAUAGAUGCAUGAAAUAUAAAUAUCCUCAGAAUUCAAGAAUAAUGCACAAAUAUAUAUUCAAUAAUAACGCACAAACCUGAGCGUUCUUCAUUUUCUGCCUCUGCAAUUCCUCAACUAGGUUCCCGAUACUGACAACAUAAAUAAAGUUUCAGUAAAAUGUACAUGAUAAAGAAAGGAAGUCUGCACUGUUUUGCGUUUCACCUCUUACCUCUGUUGCAGUUGAAGCACCCGAAAUUGCAGUUCUUUCUCCCUCGGAGAAGAGUGCGCUAUCUGCAUGUACAAUUAGUUAAAUCAUUCACUAAAAUCUUUUAACGAAGUAUAGGCCUAUAUGACAAAGUUUGUCUCAACAUGAGAUAUCCAACAUUGGGAUAAACCAGAAACACUUAAAAAGAAAGCAUAAAUAGAAAGGGUAACUGACACCAUGGAAUAUUCCAUCAAGAAGGUCAUAUGACUACAGAGAAGUUAGGAUUGAUACCUGCAAAAGGUCAUUGAUGCCCACUUCUGUAAAAUCCCCAAGCUUACCUGUACAAGGAAGAGAAGGCAAAUUUAACAUCAAAUAAUUUCUUGUGGUCAUGCAGCAGAAAAGCUUAGAGGCUUUACCAGAAGUUUGCUCCAAAUGUUUGAUCAGUCUAACAAUUUCUUCCUGUUGGCAAUCAUCAAAAACAGAACUUGUUUCAAGACUGGCAAUCUCUAUGACAUGAGAUAGGACAUGCAAAAACAAACGUACCCUUUGUAUGGUGUUCUGCUGCAAAAUGCAUUGUAGAGAUGGGAGAACAGCACUAGGUGAAAGGUUUAGAGAUGCUGGAUUGGUUGAACCUCUGGUAACCGGGUUAAGUAUGCAGUUUGUAGGUCCCUGAAUGAGAGAAAAUAAUGGCAAUGGUUACAAAGCCAUUGCCUAAAAGAUAAAUUGAUAAGUUCAAUUCCUAUCAUUCUUCAACGGUGAAACAUGAGAUAAUAUAGACAGUCAUAUAUGACAGUUUGUACGCUGAAAUGAGGAAGUAAAAGCCAAAAUGUUUUCAUGGAUAAAAAUCCAGAUAUUAGAGGAUAAACUUAACAUACAUGACAUCUAACACGAAAAAUACGUUUGAAAUUAGGAUGGAUGCAUCAAGCAGAUGAAAUGCAUAAUCAAUUACAACCACAUGUAAAGAAACCAAAAAGAUAUGAAACCAAAGCAUUCAGUGGAACCACUUAGAAUAUAGCCCUUUAGCAGAAGUGUAAUUUACUUGGUGUGGGGUUCAUAAGUAAUAGCUGACAGCAUAUGUGUAUGUCAUUUUUUUUUUCAAAAUAAAAGAAAGAAAAAAAAUUGAUGUAUGUCAUUCUGUUGACGCAGCAUUUACAUGAUGCCUAACAAAUGGUGUCCAACUAUGCAGAUAUUUAUCGUUACAGAUAAAUUACACAGUAAUAUAUUAUAACAAACAGGAAUAUAUAAUAUACACACACCAUAUUUGCAGCAAUUCCUAGCAGCAAAAAGAUGCAUGUAAUUGCAUGACAUCAAAAGACAGUACCCAAUAGGUUGCAAAGUUUCUUUGAAUGGAUGAGGUAAACAUAUCAUUAUAUUGCAAAUGUACCUUGGGACUGAGUUCGGCUGAAGUCACUUUAAAGCGCCCCCGCCGAACAACUGCUCCCUCUGAUGCAUCCUCUGAAUAAAGGGCCAAAGAAAUCAAACCGAGGUCAAUAGAGUACAAACAAGUAGCAUCACUUCUAAGUAGAAAUAGAAGAAAAAACCAGGAAAUACCUGGCGAAGGACUAUUUGUUUCUCUCUUCUGGCGAUACAACAACGGACCACUGUAGUUGUGUUCAGAUUGAAAUUUGGGCUGUGGAAAGUCCCUUCAAAACAUUUUUGGUAAACCCAAUUUAAUAUAGAUUUAUGAAUCACUUUUUCCAGUUAAAGUAAACGGCAAUGAUAAAAGCAACAAUAUUCCUUUUUAAUUACAGAACAGCAGAGUCAACGACCAAGUCAAGAAGACAGUCCCUAUGUCAUGUGUAGCAGAUCAUACAUCUAGGACUUCUCUUCAACUCGAAAUCCACAGAAUAUAGAAACUCAUCAUAUCAGAGCUUGAUAAUGGGAAAACAAUCUUCCUAAAUAUAUAUUUAGAAAAGUCACUUCAGUUAUUUUAUCAUGUUUGGUGAUAACAGCUUUGCAGCUAGGGAUAACUUCGCUUGGAUGAAGCUUACCUGUCCCCAUUUCCUGUAACCUUUUUAGGAGAUAAGGCAUUAUCAGGUAUUAGUGGACCGCUCAAGAACUUUUUGUGCUCUGGAAUGACUUGAUGAAGUAACGAGCUACUUUGCCCGGAGUUCUCACCCUCGUUUCUACUAGCAUCUUGCUCCAUAGCUCUUGAUGACUUUAUAACAAAUGGCUCACUUCCUGAUUGGUUAACACCUUUCCGAUUCGGACUGUUUACAUCCUCAUCAUCUUCACCAAUGUCAAAACAGCCUCUGAACCAAUUAAAUAGUUGCAUGAAUAAAAAAAGAAGCUAAAUUACCAAAAACAAUUCGACUGCCAACCUUUCUUUCUCCAAAAUAGUAAUUAGCUGAAGAGAUGCGAUAAAUGUUUUUAAAAAAUAGAAAGAAGAUACCAUUAAAAACCACAUAACUUAAAAGAUGAAGGAUUAAAUUUGUGAGAACUUACUGCUUUCUGCAUUAAAAAAUAAAACACCUACAAUUCACAAUCUCUUUGAACAUAACAAAUGUGAAUAAUGAUAGCAUACUAAAUAUGUUAUAACAAUGAAUUCUUUGCAAUAGAAAGUCAAGCAAGCAUAAAAAUGUCAUACUUGAGUGCUUGAAGAGGUUUAAUGGGAAACGAAGCAAGGGAACUCUUCAGAUCAUGAAGAUCAUUAAGCCCAUCCUGAAACAAGUUAAAGGAGGAUAUUAAUCUUGAAGUACCAGCUUAAUCGUUAGGUCUGAAAGUUCAAUUACAGUGAAAUAAUUUGGGGUUACUGGUACCUCCUGGCUACUUGAAGCAAUGGAAUUACUAGCCAUUUCAGAAGACAUUCUCUCUGGUGAUAAUCCAACAACACCAUUGCUGUUUCUUUGAUUCCUGCUGCCAUCUCGAUCUUCUGCAUUUGGCACAUCAUCAUAAUCAUGAAUCUGCAAGUAAAACAGUCAGCAUUUCUGAUGAGAUAAAAAUAAUAGAGCAGGUCUUGGAGUACAUCCACAUAAAUAAUGUUACGCAUCCAACCUAAAACCAACUGGCAAAAGAUGGGAGGGGCACAACAUAAGGAUAGAACCAUAGGAAGCCCAAGACUCAAGAGAUGCAGGUUAACACCACUGAACAAAUAAUAAGUUGAGCUGGACAAUUGAAACUACUUACAAGUGCAGCCUGACUUUUCAAGUCCUCCAGGUUGAAAUUCCAGGCACUAAUUCCUCUUAUAUACUCUUUCUGCAAGGUGAAAGGAUUCAUAUUUAAAGUGAUACCAUGUAGUCAUAAAUUUUUUAUAUACCAUGGUUAUUCAUUAGUGAAAGAAAACUAGCUACAAUAGGAAUUGAUAGCAAUUGGAUUAAUCAAAACACAACCUAAAAUUACUAGUAAGAUUUGAAGGAAAGAACCUAGCACUACUUUUUGUUGAGAAAUGUAAAAGAGCUACAUUAUUCACCUGUGAUAAUUGCUCCUUGUCCUCAUAGAGAGCCUUGUUCUCUACAAGAAGAUCAGCUUCUUUUGUCUGAGACAUAAAAACCAGAUCAGAGUGUCGCAUUUAUUCCCCAUCUCAAACAGAGAUCACAAAUUCAAUAAAAACAGUAAGCAAGAGACCUUUAGCACCCUAAACCGUUCACCUAAUGAAGCAAAACCAUCAAGAAUGGUUCGAGCUAGAUAAUCAUAAGAGCGUGCAUUUUUAAAGAACUGGUGCUUCAAAAGCUUAUCCGAAGUCGGACGUUUCUUUGGGUCUUUCACCAAGCAAGCAGCUACCAUCUCCUUGAAAGACUAGAGAAUAAUAACACUAUUAGAACGAUGCUGUAGAUACCAUCAAGUGAUACUAGACAGUAAGACAGAAUAGAACAGCACAAACCUUUGAGAACCUCUUGUCCCUUUCAUAAUCUAGACCAGGAGGAGCAUUUUGCAAGGUCAUUAACAAAACCUGCGGCAAAAAUGGGAGUAAACAAUCAAACCAAGAACUAAAAAUAAAGGCAACAGCAAGAUAAAUACAAAAAUAAACUGAUAUAACUAUCAGAAAACCAAGAGAUUACUUUCAUCGGUGGAUACUUCGAAAAUGGGGCAUGGCCAUGAGCAAGUUCGAGUGCUGUUAUUCCAAAAGACCAGAUGUCGGCUCUGUAAGCGGGAAAGAACAAGAAACAUAAUGAUUCAAAAGGUAUAAAAGCAAAAGAAUGAAAGGAAAUGAAAUGAAAAGAAAAGUAAAUAUCUGUAUCAGCGAGAUAAUCAACUCACUUGAAGUCAUAACCAUGCAAUUGCUGCAUAACUUCUGGAGCCAUCCUGAUAUAGAGCAACAAUAAGGAGACACAUUAUGGUCAUUAUCAACUCUCAAAAAUUGAAUUUACAUGAUAGAAGUACCGAUAUAAAGUAAACACUGAGAUGUUGGAAGGCCAAGGGAACAAAUACCAGCAAGGAGUUCCAACAAAAGUAUUUCUGGAACGCUGUCUGUCUCCAGCAUCAAACAUGCUUGCUGACACUCCAAAGUCUGCCAACUUGACAGAACCAUCAGAAUCAAUUAAGAUAUUCCCAGCCUGCAAACAUAAGUCAUGAACGUAGAUAAGAAUAAAGACAAAAAUCCCCAAAAUGAGGGUAAAAAGAAUUAGGACAAAAUAUCAGGCAGUAAGCUGUUGGCAUAUUGCCAAAGAAACAAGAAAAAGUCAUAAUGAACUACUAGACUAAGAGAAUAUUAGCAUAAAGUUUGUGUGCGGAACAAAGCUAUAUUUCCAGCAUUUAUCAUAUAUAGUUAAUUACAUUAUAAGAAGAACUAUAAGUUUCUUCAUGUGAUUGUUACAAAAUAUAGCUGGAGCAAUAUCUUACAGAUGAGACAGUCAAUAACUAAUCAGCUUGGCCCCUGAAAACAAACUAGUUGCAUAAAUAAACAAGAAAACACAUGGCAUACAAAUAAAACAAGAAAGGGCAAUUAAAAACCUUCACGUCUCUGUGAAUGUGCCCAUGGGCAUGAAGAUAAACAAGAGCUUUAAGGACUUCACGCAAUAAAGUAGCAAUAACAGGCUCUUCAAAACCUUCUGGAUAAGCGGAUUUCAUUAUAUGCAAGCAGGAUCCCCCAGCCAUGUAUGGCAUCACAAUCCAAAGGCUGUGACCAGUGGUGAACGAGCAAAGUGCCCAUAGUAAAUUUGGGUGAUCAAUCAAGCUCAUGGUCUGUACCUCUCUUCGGAUGCCAUCCUGCAUCAUUCACAACUGUUGAUGUGACGGAGUUGCUGGGACUCAUAAGAGAAGGUACAAGUAAACAUGACUUCUCAGCAACAAACUGUGAAAGAUCAUACUUACCAGAUCACUAUUGCACUUUUCCAAAUCAAGAACCUUGAUAGCAACAAUCUCAUUAAGUGGAAUGCAUAAAGCCCUGUACACAGUGGCACUGACACCUUCUCCAAUUUCUUCAUAUAACUUGUAAUCUUUUGGAUUGACUGGAUAUCGUUUCUCCAAAGUAUGCUCCAUGGUUCCCUUUUACUGCAUACUAUUGCCACUCUCUUUACUUCUAGAUGUUCCGAUUAACAAAGGCACACUUUUAGCUAAAGAUUGGACUGUCAUUCUAAUGCGGGACUUCUUCCAAUUUGGUAGCAUCUUCUCUUUUUUUAAUGCACAAGAGUAUACAAGUAAACUGACUUCAUCAAGGUCCCAGACCUUUUCCUUGCGUGCAGAUACAGUUUAAACUUUAAACCUCAAAAUCCUAGCUAACAACAGAGAAGAUAUUGCAUUACACCAGGUAUCCAGCGAUUGAACUAUUGGAACUAGCAGUGGACUGUCAACCAAGAGCAGUCAACAAAGCUUACAAUAACAGUCAUUUACCCCAGACGACCGAAAGAAGCCUAAACGUUAGCAAAUGUUGUAUGGCACAAAACUAAUAAAUGCACUCGAAAACUAAGAAAAAUUUGCGCAAACUAACCAAGAAACAAAAUAAAUAGAGCUAACAAGAAGCCUGUUACAAGAAAGGUGAUAUCAGGUAUUUUUAACCUAUACAAAACCAAGAAAAAAGUAUUAUUUCUUACUUUUAAAAAAACACAAAUUUCUUUUCGAAACAAUUAAAACAAAUACAAAAAAGAAAAGCGAAGCAAAAGUUUAAGUAAAAUGUAUUAGAGGCUCUUGAAACAUGAAUAACAAAACAAAAAUUGGAAAAAAAAAGAAAAGAAAAAGAAAACAGACUGAUUAAUAUCUUUCAAUUCUUUUAGCUUCUGUAUAGCAAUCUAGAUUCAACUUUAUUUUUAAAAAAUCAAUAAAAAGGCGUUUUCUUUUAUAUAAUUCUUAUUUAAUUAAAAAAUAAACUUAAAGACAGUCUUAAUUCUAAGUAAAUUAACUAUGAUAUAACAUAACAUUCAUGAAAUCGCUUCAAAGUUUCCAUAAUUCCUCAACAAAACAACUAAAACUAUAGUCAAAUUUCACGAAUUCCAAACAACCUCCGAAGAAACAAAAAAUAAUAACAAAAAACUUCAUGAUUAAAAAAAGAAGCUAAAAUUACCAUAGAUUUAUACAAACCUGGUAUUUCAGUGGAAUGAAAUCAAAGCUGAAUCUGAAAAUCUGAUAGCCCCACCUCCUCCUCCAAACCACUUCACGAGACUUUGUUUAAACGCUUCUUCAGUUUCAAAUUUCGAUUUUUUUGUUGAAGACAGAUUCUAAAGAUGACAAAUAGCGAUGAUAAUAAUUGGCGGACAGAUAUUAUAAUAAUCAAAUAAAAAAUUCCAGUCGAGUUUCAGGUCCUUGGAUCAAAUCUUACAACUUCCGCAGUUUGCAAAUAAAAUACUCUUUUUUUUGAAGCUUUGGUUUUAGCAAAGUAAAAUGAGGAUGGAAAAGUAAAAUAUAUAUAUAGUUGAAAGUGAGAAGAGAUUUUUAUGAGUUAUCUUAUCUUCUCUUCCUUUAGUAGGUGAAAAUAUCGUAUCUUCUUUAGCUUAUUAACAUACGUUGAUGGACAGUAAUAAAUUAAAUUGCGGAAAUUUUGGCGCAUUCAUGUGAAAUAAUAUUUUUUAUUUAGUAAUCUUUUCAUAUUUUAAUUAUUUUAUUUUUACUCUAAAUCAUGUCAUGAAAUCUUAUCGUGUCUUAAUUAAAUUUAUUAUGUUUCCUUUCAUCCUAAUUCUUAACUUUCAAAAGUAAGAUUGAAGUAUCAUUUUAUUCUCUUUCUUAAUGAUAUAAAAUUAAAUUUUUACUUUUUUGAGUUGAAAAUAUGUGUAUUAAUAAUUAGGGUAAAGUAUCAAAAUAGUUAUUUUUGUUUUUCUUAGACUAUAUUUUAGUCAUUUAUAUUUGAAAUAUUACGUUUUAGUCAUUUAUAUUGACGUGUUGUAACAUUUUAGUCAUUAAGUUGUUAAUUGUCAUUAACGUUAUAACGAUAAGCUGACGUAGCACGUUAAAUAAUCAUUUCAAAUAAAAAUCUUAAGUUAAACUAUUCAAUUAGUCUCCAUCUUUUUUUUUGUUUUGAGUAAUUUUUUUUCUUUUAUGUUCUUUUUAACUCUUUUUUUUUAUUUUCUUCUGCUUCUCCCUCUAUUUUCCUUCAUUCUCCAUAUCUUUCAACGUAAAAGAAAAAAAUUAAAUUGCUUAAAACAAAAAUAUAAAUAUAGGGGCCAAUUGUAUAAUUUAAUCUAAAAUUUUAUUUGAAAUGAUGAUUUAAUCUGUCAUGUCAACUUACCGUUAUACCGUUAAUGUUAUAACAUAAUAACAUAAGAGACUAAAACGUAUCAUUUUAAAUAUAAGUGAUUAAAAUGUAACCUGAGAAAAAUAAAAUUGACUACUUUGUAUUUUACCCUAAUAAUUAUUAUGGUUUGCCAAUUGAGUCUUAAUUCGAUUAGCAUAAGCAUUAUUGUCAAUGGAGGAAGAUAUGGAUUCGAGUGCGCUGAUGUGUAUUCCUAUUUAUAGAUUGAGGAGAGCUAUGCUUAAUUCUAAACAUUGUCUCAAAAAUAACAGAUAUGAUCAAAUCUUAUAAAAUAUAUUCAAAAAAUAAUAAUUAUCCCUAGGGAUUAGAGUUUUUUCUUUCUUUCUUUAUAUGAUAAAAUUCAAGAAAUACAUAUUUUCAUCUUCAACAUCCAAAUCAUAAUUUUAGUACAAAAUUUUCUGUUGGAUCAUAAAGCAAAGAGAUAUCAUUGAAUAAAAACAUUUUUCCAGUUUUGUUUUCAUUUUUUAAUUACCAUUUUAACAAAAAAAAUUCAAAUUGAUCCUUUUCAAUAUAUAUAUAUUGCCAUUUUCACGCCCAAGAGGGCUUCAAUAAUUCCGUUGAACUAUAAAUAAUUGGCAUAGAAAUACAAUCUCAGCUCAUAUUUCAUUGCUUGAAGUUAGUUUGCUAUUUAAACUUUUUAGUCACAAAAAUUGUUCAUUUCUUCAAUCUUAUAUACCUUUCAAAAUAGGAAAAUAAAAAGGGUAAAUUGUACAAAUGGUCACCCAACAUGCCCAUGUUCUUGUUUUGGUCAUUCAAUUUUAAAAUAUUCAAUUUAGGCACUAAAUUUUGUAUUCAUUUCUAUUUUUCUAACUGGUAUAAUAACAUAUUUAGUCCUCAAUACUUACAUAUCUAUAAAUUUGGUCCUAAUUCUAAAUAAUUAAAUAAAUUUAACCCUUGACAUUUAUAAAUUCCAUUAAUUUAAUCCUCAAACUUCCUAACGAAAGCUUUUAACUUUAAAAUUUGAAGCAAUCCACAUCUAUAAAUUUAUAAAACUCAAAAAAGAAAAAAAAACCUUCUCCAAUUGUGCAAAUCUCCAUCACUCAACUUUUUAACAAUACCUCUUAUUAAUGAAGAAUUUUGGGGAAUGGCAUAUUUUUUCUUUAAAAUUUUAUAAUCUAAAAUUAUUCAACAGCAAAUUAUAAUAAUAAGCAUAAAUAAAUAAUCGUAAAAGGUAAGUUACAAAGUCUCCGCCACACAACAUUAAAUUAAGGUAAUUAAGUUUUUUUUUAUUUCAAUACAAUUAAUCUUAAUUUGAAAUUUAAUUUUUCAUUUAUGGUUUUUGAAUAUUAGAUUUGAGAUAAUAAUAAAAAAAAGAGUACAGAUAGUAAAUUAAAGAUUAGUAUCGACUUUAGUAUUUCCACAAGUAAAAUAAAAAAAGAUAAUUAUAUAAAUAUAUUUAAUAUAAUAAAAAAAUAAAAGUAAAUUAAACAUGCGAUAGAUUUUUAAACCUCAAUUAUAAAAAUUAAACUUUCACUAUCCAUAUAUGUGAUGAUAAUCCCUGAAUCAAACAAAAUUCUUUUGAUUAGCAUAUUUGGUAGAAUUGAAGAAGUUUUUCUUUUCUUUUUGGAUUUUACAAAUUUAUAGACAUGGAAUGCUUAUAUCUUAUAAGCUGAAAAUUUUAGUUAAGAAAUUUAAAGAUCAAAUUGAUAGAAUAUGUAAGAAUUUGAAGACUAAAUGUGUUAUUAUACCAGUUAAAAAAAUAUCACACUAUUACUUUUAAUAUCAAUUUAAAGGUGGGUAAUCAAAAUAAGAACAAGUAUUUAGUGCCUAAAUUAAAUAUUUUUAAAGUUAGAUGAUAAAAAUAGAAAUACAGAUAUAAUUGAGUAACCAUUUGUAUAAUUUACCAAAAAAAUCAAUAAUUCUAUUUCAAAAAACUAAAAUAUGAAAUUUUUAUUCAGAAUGUCACUAUUAUUUCACAUGCUUCAUCAUCAAACUUUUUUCUUUAAAAAAGAAAAAAAUAGUUUAUUAAUCACAGGAAUCUUCAUUUCAAGGCUAAAAAGGUGGUUGUUUGAUAUUUUUCUUCUCUAUAAGAACUCUAGGCUUACCAUAUAUAUCACGUUAUUAACCUAUCAAACGACGAGAUUAUCCUUUUAGAUUUGGUUUCUAAUUUCUAUGGGUGUGGCCAAGCCACUAGAUUCAACUUUUGUAUAUUUCACUGAUUUAAAUUACUGUCUAGUAAUAAUAAUAAAAAUAUUUAAAAUUAAUUAAGAAAUAUAAAAAUAUAUUUUAUUUUAUUAAAUUUUAAAUAACAGUACUUACCAUCAUUAGAACUUAAAAGGAAAUCGAAAAAAAGAAAAGAAAUUCAAAUCAGAUUAAUUUACCAAAUUUUAUCCAUGCAUUUAAAUUGGUUGCCAUUGUCGUUUAGUGCAGUUUUUCUAAAAUUUACCAAAGUUCAUACGUGCAAUUAUCCGAGGAAGGUUUUAUUUUAUGGAUGCCAGCAAAUCAAAUAUUUAUAUUUUCUCUACGACUGGAAUCUGAAAAUAAAUUUAAAUAUUAUUAUCUAAAUUUGAAUUUAAAUUAAUUUAAUUAUUCGUUAAAUAUUCGGAUCCUUUGAUAAAUAUAAAGAUAUUAUUCAUAUGCAAUCUGAAUAGAAAUUUAAAUAUUAUCCGAAAUUACAUUAUUCAUUCCUAUCCUUAAUUUGUAAAUAUUUAAAUCUUAAAUCUGAUAUCAAUAAUAACUUAGGCAAAACAAAUUAUUUUAAUACUAUUCUUUAUAAAAAAAAUGUCUCAUUAAAAAACAUACAGUGAAAAAAGAAUACACCUUACCCAUUCAUUCAUCAAAAUAAACAAUGAAAUUCGGUGAACGAUUCCACCGCAUCGAAUAAUCAACACUUAAGAGAAGCAAAAUCGGCGCGAAACUAUAAAGAACGUAGAAUUAUAACAGUUCAACAUAACGCAAUUUAAGGUUUAAAUAGGGGAAAAUAUUAAGUAGAUAUGAGUUUUACUUGUUAGUCCUUACACCAAUUGAGUUUAUAACUAGAGAUUUUUUUUUUUUUUUGCUUUAUAAUGUUAGAAUUGUUAGUGUAUUUUAAUCACUAAUGUUAUCAAAACCUAAUAUUUGGGUCUCUCAUUAAAUCACUAACGAUUAUUUUUUUAUUGACAUAAUAAUAAAUUUAGUCUCUUAAUGUUUACAGAUUUUAUAGUUCAGUCUUAAAUUUAACAAAUUUAACUUUAACUUUACACAUUCUAUUAAUUUUGUCUUGAUUCUUAAAAAUUAAAAAAUAAAAAAUUUAUUUUUCAAUAAAAAUAUAUAAAAUAUUUAUGAAUAAAUGAAUACUUUUUUCUAACAUAAAAUUUAAUUUUUAAAAUAAUAAUUUUAUUUAUUUAAGAGAAAAAAAACUAUAAAGAAGACCUAUGCAGAUUCACUUGUUCAUUUUGAGUUGAAAACUACAGUAAGUCAAAAAUGAUGAAAAUUGAUGUUUUUAAGUUAUCCAAAGCAGGUAUUGGCUUUGAAUUAUGUUUAUAGAUGAAAAACCAUACCGACAACUAUACAACCAACUCCUAAUUUGAUUGCAUGAAAAUAGAUGAUGUGGAAAUUGAUGAGUUUUAAGUAAAAAUUAUUUGUGCUAGUGAUUGGAGACGAAAGUAGUGCUCAACAUUUGACAAAUUUGAUGAGAACUGAAGAGCUAGACAUAUAAUAAAAUUUAUUAUUUAUAAAAUAAACUAAAAAAAAAGUUUGGAGCUGAUUUGUGUUGUUAGUGGGUUUCUUUUUAAAAAUAUAUAUUAUUUAUAAAAAUAUUAUUUUAAUAAAUAAAUUACAUGUAAAAAAAAUUGAUAAAAAUGGGUGUUUAUUUAUUUAUAAUUUUAUACGUUUCCUUUUUCGAAAAAUAAAAUUUUAAAUUUAAAAAAAAAUGGUAAAUUAUAACAAAGACAACACUGACUAGGAGAAACUAUGCCCGAUGAAGACUACUCGGAGAGGCCCCUGAACUCUCGAACAAUAAAAUCUGCUGCAGAUCAGCUGAAGCCCUCCCUAGAAAAUGGAAACCAAUCGGAUUGCAGUUCGUACUUCUCGCUAGAGAAUCCGCAGGCAGGUUGACUUCACCAUAACCAUGCUAGAUCACCACAUUCCAUUGUCUGGUAAGGAAACCUCGAAUUCGCUGGACCAAGACAACCACGACAUUCCUAAAGCCCCGUUCUAGUAACAGUCGCAACCCAUCUAGGGUCGACUAGAUUGUGUAAAACUAAGGACUAAAUUUGUUGAAUUUUUUAAAAUUACGACUAAAUUGAUUGAAUCUAUAAACAUUAAAGAGCUAAAUUUAUUAUACCAAUAGCCAGGUCACCGUUAGUGAUUUAACUGAUGAGUGAGCAGAAUAUUAAAUUUUGAUAAUGUCAGUGACUAAAAUAUAAAGUUUUAAACUUGAGUUACCAAAACAGGAACACACUAAUAGUUGGGUGACUAUUUUUAUAAUUUACCCGCUGAUGGCAUAUGUACAUUGUACAACAGGACCAUUUCCAGUGGAAUGGUCAUAAUAAAUAAUGGCAUUUCAUUGUAUAUACACGUACCUAAUGUUACACACCACAGCAAAAAGACAUUUCAUGUCUCGUCUGGCGUUGGCUCGAGAAUUACCGGGAUCUUCUCCUUAUGAUCACCGCGCAACACCUCGACGGUAACCUGCGAGAAAUAAGAUAAUGGAAAAAAUCUACACUUCAAAAACAUCUGAAGAAUAUUCUAGGAAUAUACAGGCAGUAUUUGAUUAUAUACCUUAUCACCAACUUUACAUUGAUCAAGAAUUCUGUACAAGUCGCUGCCAUUGGUGACCUUCUUUCCGUUAACAGAAGUUAUUAUAUCACCCAAUACGAGUCUACCAUAAGCAUCACGCUUUGUUGGUCGCAGACCCUGUUAUAUGCUAAAGGUUAGCUGUCAAUAGAAAAUAUGAAAAGCUUCAACAUGUUGUUGAAAUGUAACAAUCUUCAAAAAGAAAAGGUGAAAGUCUGAUGCAGAAAUUUUAUACCGCCUUGCCGGCUGGACCAUUCGCAGGAGCAUCUAAGACAAGCACACCACUUACUCCCAACUGCUCGACAGAUUGGUCGGGUGCAAAUUUAAUCCCUAAAAUUGGUCUUGUCACCUUCCCGAACUUCACCAACUGAUCAACGAUGCCACUAACCUGGACAUGUAGGAAUAGCGAGAUGAAUUUGGAAAGAAAACGAAACAAUAUAAAUUCUUCCAUCUCAAACGAAUCAAGGUCUAUGUAAUACUCACUGUGUCAACUGGAAUCGAGAAUCCAACACCGGAAUUUGCACCAGAAGGAGAAUAUAUAGCGGUGUUUAUCCCGAUAAGGUUUCCUGAACUAUCUAGGAGUGGCCCUCCACUAUUACCAGGAUUAAUAGCAGCAUCUGUCUGUAUAACAUCUUGAAUUGGGCGACCUGUAGCCGCAGAACUGAUCUCUCUGCGAAGCCCACUAUAGGUAAAUAUAAAAGAAGCAUUAGCAACUGUAAUUCAUAUAAAAAAGAGCAAUAGGAGAAAACUUAAGUAUGAUAUAUCAGUAAAAAAUCGUUGGUCUUUGAUACCUGAUAACACCAGUUGUAAGAGUGUGAUCAAGUCCAAACUGCAAGGACACGAAAAAGAAAAAUCAGAAAUCCACUCAAACAAGUAAUCAAAGAGCUAAAAGAAUAGGAGUAAAAGCACACGAUCAUUAACUCUUGAUCAGGCACUUAAAACCAUAGUGAGGGCGGCACUCUUAUUAAUCAAAUUCAUCUAUGUUGCUUCGACACUUUUAUUUCUCUUUAAGUGUUUGUGUCUUGAUGCAUAUCCGUACUUGGGUACGGAGAUAUGACUCUCCAAAGACAUGGAAAAGCUUCAAAAAAAUUCAAAUGCCCGUGUUGGACACAUACUUAUAUCCGACACUUUAUUAUGCAAGCAUAUCGAAAAGCAACCUCUUUUCCAUGCCAAUCCUAUUAAACAUCAUAAUAAAUGUGUUCGAAGAGAAUGGAUAAACGGAAAUAUGAUGUAUCAGAAAAUAAAAAAUAAGAUAUAUGAUGAAGGAAAUGUAUAAGAUAUUUAACGACCUGCAUAUAUAAGUAUGUUCAUAUCCUUGAUAUCACUACAUACAGUCUCCAUUGAAGUGAAACACAUAAAGUACUCACCACACAGGUAUAGGUCAUAUUCUACAAGUAUAAACAUGUACUCACCGGGUUACCGAUAGCAUAUACUUUCUGGCCAACAAGUAAAUCUGCAGAGACACCAAUAGGUAUAGGUCUUAGUUUGUCUUUGGGGGCAUCAACACGCAAUACAGCUACAUCCUUGUCUUGGUCGAAUCCAACAACUUUUGCAUCAUACGUCGUCUGGUCCGCAAAAGUAACCCUGCAAAUAAUGAGCACCAAUAUAAGAUUUCGUAUAUCAAGAACAAGAAGCUUUAAAACAUCUUUAUCCUUUAUAUCCAUAUUGCCAAAGGUCAGGUAGUUAACGCCGCUAACUCCUGUUUCUUCAUAUAUGAUUACUUUCAAGACUUAGAAACAAUCAAAAUAGCAACUCAACCAAGCUCAAUACCUCCAAAUAAAUGGUGUAUUUAUUUCCUCAAAUUUAUUUAAUGCACUAUCCCGUUGCUCUAACAAAACAAAAAGAUACCAAGAACCAGAUGUUUAUUCGUCAUGCAUCGCAUUCUACUCCUAUGUUAAUCGAACCCAUGAAUGAGUGCUAGAAACAAAUAUGUUUCUAACAUGAGUAUAUUCAAAAUUUCCAACUUUUUUCACAUUAUUGGAGGAUCAUACCCUAUAACAACAUCCGAAUGGCAUCGGAUACAGGUAACUUAAGGAAAUGAAGAGUCCAGAUAAACAUAAAUUAGCCCUAAACGAUCUUUUCAUAUUUUUCCAUGCUUAGAUAACCAAAUAGAUUAUAUAGGUUCAUGCUUUUCCAAUACAUUCAUUCCAAACACUGAAAAUAACAUCCAUAUUCCAUAAUGAUGUGAAUUGAUAUCAUCUAAAAGUAUUUCCAUUUCCAUUCUGUAGUUAUUCAAUCCCAAUAAUUUACAAGAAUAACAGGAAAUAAUAAAACUAAUAAAAGAACUAACUUGAGAUCAGAAGCACCACGGAUCACAUGAUAAUUGGUAACAAUGUGACCAUCUGUGUCCCAAACGAAACCCGACCCCGAUCCUUGUGGCACCUCCAGCACAUCCAACGUAAAAGCAUCCUGCCUGAAAAAAGAAGCCCGUUACCCAAAAAAAAGGGGAAAUACAAACUACGCAGCAGCAAAUUGAAUAAGAAAGCUUAAAAAUGAAUGACGGAAAAUUCAAAAUUGAAUUAACCUGACGGCGAGAUUGGUGAUAUAAACAACAGAGGGAGUGUUCUCUUGAAAAAGACGAACCGUAGCCAACUCAUCGGACUGUAAUUUCCGGGGAGGGGUCACCACAAAGGCCGAGGCGGCUCCCACAUCGGUUACGAAUAUCGAGAAAGAUAGAGCAAGCGAAGUGCAGAGAAUAAAGAAGGAAUCGAAAGCUAAAGAAACUAUGCAACUAUUACUAGAAUUAUUGUUAGAACUGUUUUUGGAUUGAUUGAAAAUGAGACUGUGGAGAGAAGGAAGAGAGAGUUUCCUGGUUGGAAAGAGAAAAGAAGGUUUAGAAGUGGAUGUGAGAGAGAGGGGAGGAAGCUUUGGAUUUCUGUUUGGGGAGCGAGAAAAUGGGGAGGAAAGUGUGGACAGGAGUGAAUAAGCUGCCAUCUCUUUGCUGACUGGUUUAGACAACUCACUGCAAUUUUAUUAUGGUUAUUCUUUGAAAAAUUUUCCAUGGCCGAACGAAAGAGUACUGAAUUUUAAGGGGACUUUUUUUGACCACAAAGAAAGUAUUUUAUUGUGUACUCGCUUAAUAGAUUUUUAUUUUUAUUUUUAAUUAAUAUUUAAAAAUAAUUUAAAUAUUAAUUUGAAUCUAAUAAGUGUCUUUCUUGAACAUUCUUCGAUUAAAAAGUACUAAAUCCACAUUCACUUAUUCGAUUUUUCCUUUUAAGUAAUCCGUUAUUGAUUGAUUAAUGAAAUAAAUGUGUCAAUUUUUUAAAUUCACAUAAUAACAAAUUUAAUUUAUAAUAUUUAUACAUUGAAUUAAUUUAAGUUUAAUUUUAAAAAAAUUAGUCAUCAAUAUUUACAUAUUAUCUACUUUAUUCUAUUUUUUACAUGAAAAUGUAAUUCAAUAGAUAAAAAUAAAAAAAAAACAAAAAUAUUAUUAAACUAGACAAUCCUCAAAUACAUUGAUUUUCUUGUACUAAUUCAUUAUUUGUUAGGUUAAGUUGAGCGCCAUUAAUUAAGCAAAUCAAAGCUUAUUUUUGUAAGUUAUUAGAGUAACAAUUGGGUUGAAUUAAUAAAGUAGAUAUAUUUUUUUUAUUUUUAAGCAAUUAAAUUGGUAAUUUUUCAAAUUUUGUGUUGUUUUAUUUAUUUCUUUCUUUCUUUUUUUACUUAAUCAAACACAUGGAUAAUGUCAGAAAAUGUUACAACGAAAAAGUAAAAAUGUAAAAGAUAAAAUUACAUAAUGUGUAAAAGAGUUCAAUUUUUAAAAUUAGAACUAAAUUGACAUAAUUCAUAAAUGACAAAAUAACUUAAUAGCUCUGAUGGUACUAAUUCAUUAUUUGUUAGGUUAAACUGACCGUCAUUGAAUAAGCAAAUCAAAGCUUUUUUUUUUUUAAGUAGUUAGACUUACAAUUGGAUUGAAUUAAUGAAGUAGAUAUUUUUUUCAAGCAAUUAAAUUGUCUAUUUUCCAAAUUUUGGGUUGUUUUAUUUAUUUAUUUUACUGAAUCAAACACAUGGAUAACGUCAGAAAUGGUUACAACAAAAAGUAAAACUGGAAAAGAUCAAAUUACACAAUGUAUAAAUGUCGAGGAUUCAAUUUUUAGAAUCAAAACUAAAUUGGCACAAUGUACAAAUGUCAAGGGUUAAAAUUGUUAUUAUGUCAAUUUUAAAAGCUAACACAUCAACUUCCCAUUAGUUAUUUAACUGCCUGUAACAAAAAAAGAAAAAUCAAAUGGAUGACCAUUUUGCAACUUUUCAUAAUUAGGUGACUAAAAAAGAAACUUCCUAAUAGUUAGAUGACCACAUGUGUAGUUUACCCUUAAAUUUAAAAUUAAUUAUAAAUAUCAUUUUAGUUUGAAGAAUUUUAAAUCUAUCUCAAAUUCAUCUUUCAACUUAAAAUUAAAUUCAAAAUUUUUAAUAUUUAUAUUGCUAUUGUUUUCAUGUAAAUUAUAUAUUUAUUAAAUAUAAAUAUGUUUAUACUUCUAUGUCUUAAUUCAAUUGGAAAUUAUUAGAAUUAUUUAUUUUUAUAAAGAGUGAAUAUUAUUUUAAAAAUAUUUUAAUUUUUUUAUAUUUUUAUAUAAAAUGCAGAACAUAUAUCAUCACAAUUGAACACAUAUUUAAUAUUUAUAUUCAUAUUUACAAAUUAUUCCUAUAAUAUUUAUGCAUAAAGAUACUUUAUAUGAUUUCAGAAAAUGUAUAUAAAGAUACUUUAUAUCAACUUUUUUAAUAAUUAAAGGCGGGAGUCGAGAUAUUAGGAAUUAAAUCCAAACUUUCAGACCAUAAUAUCAAUGUUUUUUUGCUACCAAACUAAAUGAUUGUUGAUUACUCUAUAUCAAAUUUUAAUUAUUUUAUCUUUUAGAAAACUCUUUAAAUGCAUGCAUAUUUAAAGGUGAACAAAAUUUGUGAAAAUUCGAGAUAAAGACAUAUCCACCCAACAACUAAUUGCUAGGAUGAUAGGUCAGUGAUAC